CACAUCUGUGGCCAGCUGCACUCAUUACGGAGCCCUGCUUUUCAACAGCGACGUGCUAAAAGUUACCACCUCGUGCACAGAGGCUUUUGGUUAUUUUUAGCUUCCGAAGAGCAGUUGUUUCUCAUGGGUAUUUUGAGUAGUACCUCCCUGCAACUUCAGGGAAGACUCUUCUUAACUUGAGCUGUAAUAAAUACCCCUAGGAGCCUGUCAAGUCCUGCAGGACCCAUGAAGGCAGCUAUGAAACAGACUGUCCCUUUCAAUCUAUAUUUAGAGUUCAUCUUGGCUAAGUAUACUGACUUCACAAUAUUGAUCUGUUUAAAAAGAAAUCAGUGUAUACACAGCUCUUUUUUAUUAUUUUGGAAUCAUUAUGAUACUAUUCCAUCAUGGAGACUGAGGUUUGUUACUGAUGAUCAGUAUUUCACUAACCUUUUGGUUUAUGAUGCGUUUUAAAAACUCCUUUGCUAUGCAGAAGAGUUUUAUCUACAACACUGUAGCUAUGAGUAACCAGUUUGCUAUGCAGAAGAGUCAUAUCUACAGUAUUGCAGUCAUGGGUACUUUAAAGGCAUAGACUAGAAAAAACAGGGUAUUCUCCUCCUUCUCACACACACCUUACAAAUUCAAGUGGCACAGUAUUAUGGGAUGGACUAAUUUGUACGGCAUCCUUAGUUGUUUAAAAAAUAAAUUCUGACAACCUGUUUGUGAGUACUGGCAAUUGCUCCUUCGCAGACAGUUCUUUUGAUCACUUUUUUCUUGCUGAUGUUACAGAACACAAUGUUAGAGCACACUGGAACGACAAGCAGCUGACGCUUACAUAAAGGGAGCGCAGCUCAAAACAACAAAUCCUUUCUGAAGCCAUUCUAUACAUCUAAAAUUUUGAACCCCUUUAAACUGACAACAAAUACAUUUUUCUUUCAGGUAACAACAGAAAAGUUACAUCUUCUGACUGGUCGUUCCAACCCCAAGCUAACAAGCUCUGCUGCUGUCCAGUCUGAGUAGGCGGGCAGAUGCAGACGUAACAAGCUUGCUCCUUUUCCGCAGGGGUCCCCUAGGAGUCCUCCCUCCAAACGAGGAUGUGCAAGCCAGAAAAAAAAAAUCUCACCUCCAUCCCCGAUAGAUUCCUGACAUCAUCCUAAUUGUAAGACAAGGAGCCAGGCCCCUCCGGCUGAGCUUGAAAAGGUCUGCAAACUCACCGGAUCUCUGCAGGGCAGCAAACAGCCCAUCUUCUCUUAAACACCCCAAGAAGUUGUCCUGGUUGUUGGGGCUGGCAACUGCAGUGGAAUGGGGGAAAGGGCAACCACGUGCUCGGCCCCCUGCCAGGAGAUGCUGUAGAAAGCAAUUUUUCAGGAGAGGAAGCUUUCAGAAGCCCUACUUUACAUAGCAAAGCAUGCCAAAGGUGACCACCCAGCAGCCACAGGAGACCAGCAGGCUUGUGGGAACAGUCUAGCUCAAAGGGGGACAGUCUUGGGCUGGGCAAACACAGGUAGACGGCUUCAUCUAGCUCAAGGAUCAGAAGUUUCUUCUCCACGUGUGACACACACUGACAACACAUGUCAAUAAUAUCAUCAAUUUCAGUUGAAGGCCUUGUUAUGGUGCUGGAACAGGAAGAGUGGAGGCAUGCGGCUUUGCAGGAGCCGGUGACUACACCACUCUGCUGAAAGAGGGCAUAAGGAUUCAGGGAAAACCCUGAAGCUAAGAAGAUACUCA
Molecule: long non-coding RNA, 1704 nt
Organism: Grus americana (Whooping crane)
Lineage: Eukaryota; Metazoa; Chordata; Aves; Gruiformes; Gruidae
Exons: 3
Source: RefSeq, a predicted model, not a curated record